AUACGUAGGGUGCGAGCGUUAUCCGGAAUCAUUGGGCGUAAAGAGCUCGUAGGCGGUUCAGCAAGUCGGCUGUGAAAGUUCGAGGCUCAACCUCGAAAUUGCAGUCGAUACUGCUGUGACUCGAGUCCGGUAGAGGAGAAUGGAAUUCUCGGUGUAGCGGUGAAAUGCGCAGAUAUCGAGAGGAACACCAGUAGCGAAGGCGGUUCUCUGGGCCGGCACUGACGCUGAGGAGCGAAAGCGUGGGGAGCAAACGGGAUUAGAAACCCCAGUAGUCC
This 275-nucleotide ribosomal RNA is filed under the name uncultured bacterium. RNAcentral's name for it is "partial 16S ribosomal RNA". It matches the Rfam family "Bacterial small subunit ribosomal RNA", at positions 523 to 796 of the family's 1533-position model. The record is from RNAcentral.